UCUAUCUGCUGGAACUGAUCCGCGGAUCAAUCCCAGCGGAUAGAUCCGGUCGUGUGUACGGGGCCUAACAGUUUGCGCCAUCCCAAUAUAAUGGGAGGCAGUACAAUUUAGUACAGGUCAAUACAGAAGGAAUAGGCCCUGCUCCUGGAGCUUACAAUCUUGGAUGGGGUGACAAAGGGUAAUGCCUGCAGGGGAUAAUCUGAUGAAGUACAGUUUUUAGUUGGAGGAGGGAUAGACUUCCCUGAACAAUCGAGUUUUCAAAGAUCGCCUAAAGGUGGACAGGUAAGGAGCUAACCAGAUAUACUGGGAUAUGGAGUUCCAGAUUAUGUGAGAGCUUCUGGAGAAGUCCUAAAGGCAAGUAUGGGAGGAGGUGACAAGUAAGCUAGAGAGAAAGUGUUAAGGGGACUUUGUUUGCCUUGUACAUCUGAAAGCUAAAUAAAACUUAGUUGGAUAUUAAAAAAAAAAAAGCUAGAGAGAAAGAUGUGUUGGGAGGAGUGGAGAAUACGAUUUAGGAAAUAUCUUGAGAUGACGGUGAUGUAGCUGGGGGCAGUUAUGGCUUUGUAUAUUGUGGUUAGUAUUUAGGAUUUUGUAUACUGGGUUAGUGCAAACCAGUGAAGGGAUUGGAAGAGUGGGGCAGGAGCCACAGAUCGGAAUGUCAGGUGUACAAGUCUAGCAGCAGCAUUCAUAAUAGACUGAAGGGGAGAUGGCCUAUGUCAAGGUAGGCCAGCAUAAAGGGAGUUGCAGUAGCCAAGGCGGGAGAUGGCCAAGGAGUGAAGAAAUUGUUUUGUGAGUUAAGGGGGGAUUUCUGGAAACGUUAGAGAGGUUAAGGUGGUAAGAUUUAGUCAGUGAUUGAAUGUAGAGCUCGUAGGAGAAGUUAAAGUCUAGGAUUACACCCAGCACCCUGGCAUGUGAGAAGGGAUCAAUAAUUUUGCAAUUGAUCUCAAUGGAAGAAGCUUCGGGUUUAGACAGAUUGCGUUUUAGCAGUGUUAUCUAUCUGUUCAAUAGUUCUCAAUAAUUCAGGUUGAGAACCACUGGUGUAAGAGGCCAAUGAGGUCAAUCCUGUGUUCACUCUGCUCUCGUCUACUGUCAGAUUGCUCUUUUUCUGCAUACUUGCAGGCAGCACAGGUUUGUUCCCAGUGUUGUUCCUCCUCCUUCAAGUCUAAGUGCUGAAUUAGGUACUAGUUGCAUUUAAAAAAAAUACAUUUGAUGUAUUUGAUGCAACUAAACCCCUGUAUUUAACUGUCGUUCAUAUUCUGCUUUAAGUUGAAAUGUCAUUGUGACAAGUGUGUUUUUUGCAGCACUUUGUGGGGAACUUUCAUAGUUGGAGACACAUUAGUGAGUGAUUUAGCCUUCCAGCAUCUGCCUAUAAAUAUCAUUUUGGGUGGACUGACCAUUAAACGUGUGCCCAUCGUCUGUAUUUGGCAGAGGUGACCAUUUAAUAUGCUGACGUGGUGUUCAGGAAUUUGCACCCUGUCUGUCACUGAGAUCUGUGAUAGUCUAAAGCAGGGGUCUCCAAACUGCGGCCCUGGGGCCAGAUGCGGCCCUUUGCUUGCCUGUAUCUGGCCCUUGAGGCUCUUUUCACUGACACCAACAAUGGGGAAUAAAUCCUCCGACUGUCACCAACAAUCGGGCCCAUAAAUCCUCCCACUGUUACCAUGGGGUCAUAAAUCCUCCCACUGUCACCAACAAUGGGGUCAUAAAUCCUCCCACUGUCACCAACAAUGGGGCC
Long non-coding RNA from Rana temporaria (common frog), 1729 nucleotides. RefSeq lists it as uncharacterized. The record is from RefSeq and is a predicted model, not a curated record. The transcript has 2 exons. NCBI's taxonomy places the organism in Eukaryota, Metazoa, Chordata, Amphibia, Anura, Ranidae.